Molecule: ribosomal RNA, 464 nt
Filed under: uncultured bacterium
Lineage: Bacteria
Description: bacterial SSU rRNA
Rfam family: Bacterial small subunit ribosomal RNA
Source: RNAcentral
CCUACGGGUGGCAGCAGUGGGGAAUUGUUCGCAAUGGGCGCAAGCCUGACGACGCAACGCCGCGUGGAGGAUGAAGGUCUUCGGAUUGUAAACUCCUGUUGCCCGGGACGAAAAGCUUUGACCUAACACGUCAAAGUCUGACGGUACCGGGUGAGGAAGCCCCGGCUAACUCUGUGCCAGCAGCCGCGGUAAUACAGAGGGGGCAAGCGUUGUUCGGAAUUACUGGGCGUAAAGGGCGCGUAGGCGGCCUGUUAAGUCGAACGUGAAAUCCCCGGGCUCAACCCGGGAACUGCGUCCGAUACUGGCUGGCUUGAAUCCGGGAGAGGGAUGUGGAAUUCCAGGUGUAGCGGUGAAAUGCGUAGAUAUCUGGAGGAACACCGGUGGCGAAGGCGACAUCCUGGACCGGCAUUGACGCUGAGGCGCGAAAGCUAGGGGAGCAAACGGGAUUAGAUACCCUUGUAGUC